GAUGAAGAACGUAGCGAAAUGCGAUAAGUAAUGUGAAUUGCAGAAUUCAGUGAAUCAUCGAAUCUUUGAACGCACCUUGCACCCUUUGGCUAUUCCGAAGGGUAUGCCUGUUUGAGUAUCAUGAACACCUCAACUCUCAUGGUUUGCCAUGAUGAGAUUGGACUUUGGGGGUCUUGCUGGCCUGUGGUCAGCUCCUCUCAAAUGGAUUAGCUUGCCAGUGUUUGGUGGCAUCACAGGUGUGAUAACUAUCUACGCUUGUGGUUUUCCACCAGGUAACCUUCAGCAAUGGGGGUUCGCUGGGGCUCAUAAAUGUCUCUCCUCAGCGAGGACAGCUCUUUGAACGUUUGAUCUCAAAUCAGGUAGGACUACCCGCUGAACUUAAGCAUAUCAAUAAGCGGAGGA
RNAcentral lists this unclassified non-coding RNA (402 nucleotides) under soil metagenome. RNAcentral's name for it is "partial contains 5.8S ribosomal RNA, internal transcribed spacer 2, and large subunit ribosomal RNA". The stretch from base 1 to 121 matches the Rfam family "5.8S ribosomal RNA", at positions 35 to 154 of the family's 154-position model. The record is from RNAcentral.